This 379-nucleotide ribosomal RNA is filed under the name uncultured bacterium. RNAcentral describes it as "bacterial SSU rRNA". It matches the Rfam family "Bacterial small subunit ribosomal RNA", at positions 521 to 896 of the family's 1533-position model. The record is from RNAcentral.
UAAUACGUAGGGGCCAAGCGUUGUCCGGAUUUAUUGGGCGUAAAGAGCUCGUAGGUGGUUCGGAAAGUCAGUUGUGAAAUCUCCGCGCUCAACGCGGAGGGGUCAGCUGAAACUGCCGUGACUUGAGUCUGGUAGGGGAGUGUGGAAUUCCCGGUGUAGCGGUGAAAUGCGCAGAUAUCGGGAGGAACACCAGUGGCGAAGGCGGCACUCUGGGCCAGUACUGACACUGAGGAGCGAAAGCGUGGGGAGCGAACAGGAUUAGAUACCCUGGUAGUCCACGCCGUAAACGUUGGGCACUAGGUGUGGGGACCUAUCGACGGUUUCCGUGCCGUAGCUAACGCAUUAAGUGCCCCGCCUGGGGAGUACGGCCGCAAGGCUA